RNAcentral lists this ribosomal RNA (347 nucleotides) under uncultured bacterium. RNAcentral's name for it is "partial 16S ribosomal RNA". It matches the Rfam family "Bacterial small subunit ribosomal RNA", at positions 338 to 682 of the family's 1533-position model. The record is from RNAcentral.
CCUACGGGAGGCAGCAGUGAGGAAUAUUGGUCAAUGGGCGAGAGCCUGAACCAGCCAAGUCGCGUGAAGGAUGACGGCCCUACGGGUUGUAAACUUCUUUUGUCAGGGAGCAAAGGGGGCCACGCGUGGGCUUAGCGAGAGGACCUGUAGAAAAAGCAGCGGCUAACUCCGUGCCAGCAGCCGCGGUAAUACGGAGGAUGCGUGCGUGAUCCGGAUUGAUUGGGUUAAAAGGGUGCGUAGGAGGAAUAUCAAGUGAGCGGUAAAAAUUAGGGGCUCACCCUCGUCGUGCCGUUGAAACUGCUGUUCUUGAGUGGGCGAGAAGUAUGCGGAAUGCGUGUUGUAGCGGU